This is a long non-coding RNA of Hyla sarda, 1194 nucleotides long. RefSeq lists it as uncharacterized. NCBI's taxonomy places the organism in Eukaryota, Metazoa, Chordata, Amphibia, Anura, Hylidae. The record is from RefSeq and is a predicted model, not a curated record. The transcript is spliced from 3 exons.
GAUAUGAUGUAGAAAUAUAGCUAGAGAGAGAGAGAUGCGAUAGAUAGAUAUGAUAUAGAUAUGAAAUAGAUAGAAUACAGUAAUAUGGUGCCAUUGUGGAAUUUUACUUUCAUGCACCUCUGAAUCCACCUUCUCCUCCAGAUAGAGAACAGUAACUUUAUCCAUUCAUCCGUGUAUACAAGUUCAGGAAGUGACCAAAACACACACAGAACACGGUGCACAUUAUGUCCAUGAAUAUCGCAGAUUGUGUGUGGUUUUCAGCUAGCAUGGAUUCCCUACAUGGAGAAUGGAUAUAAUGGCCCCUUCCAUGAACAGAUAAACCUCUGAUGAUCAUAUGUGAUCCCUACUGAAUUUAUUUCAGUUGAACAGAAUGUUUGUAGACGUAACAGAAGCCAUUGAUUGCAUCAAUUCCCUAUAGUUAGACGACAGCACUGAGAAUCCAGCAAAGAGGUAUCUGCCCUUUACUGAGGUAAAAAUACAUCUGAAAUGUGCUACGUUGUCCAGAGUUUGCCCCGUGUGCAAUGUGUGAGGUGCCAGGAAUUUCCGAGGGGACAGCAGUGAGAUUAAUCUAUGCAGCUAUUUCUGAUGGGAUCCGGACCUCUCCGUAUUGUCUCUGAUCAUCUCAUCACAGGAUUUUCAACAAACCUGCAUAUUGUACCUGUAUUAUGGAAGUAACAACUGGAACCUCCCACUCCAUCCAUGAUUCUACUGAACCACAUUUACAUCACCACAGAUCCCUAUGUUUAUAUAUAUUUAGUUCAAUUGAACUAUUGCGUAUCCAAGUGUAACAUGCAUUUCAAAAACAGAGCCACCCCUGGUUGUGUGUGGUAUUACAACUUGGCUCCAUUCACUUCAAUGGAACUGAGGUGCAGUACCACGCAUAACCUGAGGACACGAGUGGUCCUGUUUCUGAAAGAAACAAUAUAUUUUUUCUAAUGAUGGAGAACCCCUUUAAGUUCCCUGGAAGGCCAGACAAUCAAACAAAUUUUACAAAACUUUAGGGAACCUCUUCAAAAUUAUGCAAUCUCCCCCCCCCCCUCUCUAUGAGAAAGGAUACGGACUGGACACUAUUUGUCUGACAACCAUUGUCAAUGUAAGGUUGUCCUGAAGCUGCCUAUGGCUCUCCGGGCAAACUGGGAGUUGUAGUUUUACAACACUGGUCUAUGGCCAUGGCUAUGGAAUCUCAAAGGGGUU